UAAAGUAUUAGGUAAUAAAAGUUUUGUAUAUAGUAAUAUUUAUUAAAAUUUUUUUUUAAAAAUCAUAAAUUAGUUUACUGAGAAGGAAUUGUUGAAAUAGUGAUUUUUUUUAUUUUUAGGGAAGAAGUAUUUAAGUACUUACCUUUUGUAUUAUGGGUGACUGAAAAAUUUAAACUAACUAUAUUUUAUUAACGAGAUAAAGUGAGCUACUAUAUUCUCUAUAAUUGAUAGUAUUUCUUACUGUAGAAAAAGUUAAGGAAGGAGGAUAUAGUUGAAGUGAAAUUCUUAACGAACUUUGUUAUAGCUUUUUCUUAAGGAAAUGAGUAUUAGCUUUCUUAAAUAAAAAAUUUAACUAAAGAUAAUUGGUUGAUCAGUUGUCUUUUAAGAAAAAAAAUUCGUUGAUCAAAGUAAAAUCAUUAAAAAAUAAAAAUUUAUUAUUUAUUAUAAAGUAGAUUUUAAGUAAUUUUCUUUUUGAGUGUGUUUGAAUUCCUUAAUAAAAAAAAUUUUGUAAAAAUAGUUGAAUAUGAUAUUUAAUUUAUCUUGUUGGGAUUACUUAAGUUAUCUUACUAAAGAUAUAAUAAUGGUUAUAUUAGUAAAAUUUUUUUCAUUUUUAUAAUUAAGAGAAAAUCAAAAAGAAAGUUUAAUUACUUUUUGUUGAAAAAUAUACUUAUUUUAGUGGAUAUAAAUAUUUUUGAAGGUAGAAAAAGGAACUCGGCAAAAAUUUUUCUCGCCUGUUUACCUAAAACAUCGCCUUUGGAAAAUCAUCAAAAGGUCCUGCCUGCCCGGUGAUUAGAAAAAUUAAACGGCUGCGGUACUCUGACCGUGCAAAGGUAGCAUAAUCAUUAGCCUGUUAAUUUCAGGCUGGCAUCAAUGGCAAGACGAAGAAAAAGCUGUCUCUUUCUAUUAUUUUAGAAUUUUUCUUUUUGGUGAAGAGACCAAAAUAUAAAAGUGGGACGAGAAGACCCUAUUGAGUUUAAGUUAAUUAGUAGAAGUUAAAUUUUUACCAAAAAACUUUGGUUGGGGCAACUGUUUAUAAAAUUAAACAUAAUAAAAUAUAAAUUGAAUUAAAUCUAAAAGUUAAAAUACCCAGGAUUAUUCUGGAAUUAAAAAUAAUUACCAUAGGGAUAACAGCGUAAUUCUUUUUGAGAGUACAUAUUGACAAAAGAGUUUGCGACCUCGAUGUUGGAUCAAGUUUUCCUGGAGGUGCAGCAGUUUCUAAGGGUUGGUUUGUUCAACCAUAAAAAUCUUACGUGAUCUGAGUUCAGUCCGUCGUGAGACAGGACAGUUUUUAUCUACUAAAUUUUUCUUUCUUGUACGAAAGGACUUUAAGAAAAAAAAUAAAUUUUAUAAAAUAUUUUUGUUAAAAUUAUGAAUAAAAUAAUAUUGAUUUUU
This 1392-nucleotide ribosomal RNA is filed under the name Astrotoma agassizii. Its description in RNAcentral is "16S ribosomal RNA". The stretch from base 653 to 1392 matches the Rfam family "Archaeal large subunit ribosomal RNA", at positions 1423 to 2949 of the family's 2987-position model. Lineage: Eukaryota; Metazoa; Echinodermata; Ophiuroidea; Euryalida; Gorgonocephalidae. The record is from RNAcentral.